CACGGCGCACGGGUGCGUAACACGUGGGCAAUCUGCCCUUCGAUGGGGAAUAACCCCGGGAAACCGGGGCUAAUUCCGCAUUACAUUCCCCUCGGCAAAGCCGCGUCGAAGGAGGAGCCCGCGCACGAUUAGCUAGUUGGUAGGGUAACGGCCUACCAAGGCUUUGAUCGUUAGCUGGUCUGAGAGGAUGGCCAGCCACACUGGAACUGAGACACGGUCCAGACUCCUACGGGAGGCAGCAGUGGGGAAUCUUGCACAAUGGGCGAAAGCCUGAUGCAGCGACGCCGCGUGGGGGAUGAAGCAUUUCGGUGUGUAAACCCCUUUCGACCGGGAAGAAUGACGGUACCGGUAUAAGAAGCCCCGGCUAACUACGUGCCAGCAGCCGCGGUAAGACGUAGGGGGCCAGCGUUGUUCGGAAUUACUGGGUGUAAAGGGUUCGUAGGCGGUGUAGCAAGUCGGGAGUGAAAUCUCUGGGCUUAACCCAGAGGCUGCUUCCGAAAC
This 501-nucleotide ribosomal RNA is filed under the name uncultured soil bacterium. RNAcentral describes it as "bacterial SSU rRNA". It matches the Rfam family "Bacterial small subunit ribosomal RNA", at positions 94 to 633 of the family's 1533-position model. The record is from RNAcentral.